Molecule: non-coding RNA, 101 nt
Filed under: Oxobacter pfennigii
Lineage: Bacteria; Bacillati; Bacillota; Clostridia; Eubacteriales; Clostridiaceae
Description: SAM-I sequence
Rfam family: SAM riboswitch aptamer (S box leader)
About the family: The SAM riboswitch is found upstream of a number of genes which code for proteins involved in methionine or cysteine biosynthesis in Gram-positive bacteria. The SAM riboswitch acts at the level of transcription termination control.
Source: Rfam by way of RNAcentral
CUCUUAUCAAGAGAGGUGGAGGGAUAGGCCCGAUGAAACCCGGCAACCAGCAUUUUAUGCCAAGGUGCCAAUUCCUGCGGAUAAUUGCCGCGAGAUGAGGG